UAUCGGCCGCUCUCCCCAUCGCCGAAAGACUCAACUGAGAUGUUUGAUCGAAUCUGGUCAGACGCGAGCGUCAGAGGAACUAUACGAGGCGCUUUAAACAGAGUCAGGGGCGGUUCACCCCGCUGCGAUCGGCGCAGAGCGGGCGACUACAAACUGAUCAUCGAUCAUUCACGUUUGCCGACUGGAUCUUUGCUCUCUCGAGGUACAUCACAAGGGAGUGUCGUUCCGCGAGUAACUAUCGCGACUUAAUGCAUCCGUGUUGAUCAGCAACAGAGGCAAGUGAUGUUUCGAACUCGUAUAUGGCGCUGAUCUUUGAUCUAUAAUGUCAAUGCGUAUCAUGAUCCAUUGUAGACCCGCACACACAUAUUCAUAUAGCUUAAUUGAUAUCAUCGUUGUAGUCACCAAGCGAAUAAAGUCGUUCCUUUACCUGGUCAGCAUAUGCUCAUCUAGUUACUACGUUUGUAUUCACUAUCCUCGUCGCCUGACUCUGCAGGACGUCUCCGGCACAGUAUAUCCUUCAGCAUAUGCCGCGCACAACCCAUAGCCUUGUCACCUGUACGGACGGAUGUGGCGUAAGGUCGCGAUACUCUGGUGAGACGACCUUGAGCAGAACAAGCCGCCUUCCACCCCUCUAAGAAGAGUCCAGUUCAAUAUGGCGUUACAAUCUGCUCCACCCACACCGCUAUGGUCUCAAUCGUCCACCCGACUGCUUUCAAGUGUUUCGCGAAGAGCGAUGACUAAGAACUCACGACAAUGUAGUCUAACAUAUCCAUCUGUUUUUGUGUCACAAAAUAUAAAUUCAUUAUCACACGUAUACAACAGGUAGCUGAUGAUAGAAUAGAACAGUACCUGCCUAUAUUUCAAACUCAUGUUAACAUUCUUAUCUGUGACAAACGAUGCUGGGUUAGUGCACGCAACUCACUAUAUAUAUAUAUAUAUAUGUUAAGUAUAUAUAUUAACUAUAUAUAUAUUAAGUAGAAUCAUGACUCGCGCUCCACCUGGUACAUCCCGUUCAAAUAUGGCUUCCUUGAUUAGUUCUAGUGCUUAGUCGUCGCAUUGUCGAACCGCUCUGCGACUAGAAACACAGCGACCUUACAGACUGACUGAACGUCGUUCAGGUUUAAUGGUGUUUAAAAAUCACGGCCAUUUCGUAUGAGUGCGUAAGGCAGGCAGAUACGUUUGGCUGUUGGUCGGGACGUAUAAGAAGAUUCGCAGCCAAAACAGAACGAAUGAACAUCCUUGGUAGAAAGGUUGGAAAAGGCUGUCCGUGACUCAAUACGACGUACACAAUAGAGUAGUACAUAUAAUACGGCAAUGUGUUAUCGGUAGAUGCAUCAGCGUCAUAAAACCACACAUUCUGCUAGUGAUUUCUAAUCUUGUACUUCUGUAAUGUGUGUGUACAUUGGUUCAAAAUGGAUAAACUCAUAAGAACUUGAAAGGCUCAAGCUCUAGGAUUCAAACACCGUGCACGAUACUGAUGAAUCCGAUGUUCAAAAGCUACCGAAAGCUGUUAACCCACAUAUACUCUAAUUAGAUGCGGAUAUUGUCAGUCAAUGUCCCAUUCCGGCUCAUAUCAGGCGUAUUGUAAUGUCGACCGGUAGCGUUGCUCACUUACUUCUCUGCCAUUGAGGAAAAGUCCAAGAACAAGCGCUGUCUAUGAGGACAACAGCAUAUUGGAAAUGUCCAUCGAACCUCAAUUAUUAUUAUUGUUGUUGUUGUUGUUGUUGUUGUUGUCGUCGUCCCUGCUGCGUUCCGCCCUCGUUUCACGAGUACACAGCUGCCCCCAUUUUUCGACUUAAGCCGCCAAUACAACAACAUACGACGGGAUGGACCUCGUUCGCUGUCGCCGAAGAUGGCGAGCUCUGGCAAAUUGCCUGUCCGGCUGACGUCCUGUGACCACUCGUGUGAGGUUCGCUUUGUCUGUGUCGUCCUGAGGGACGAACGAGACUCGCCGAUGAGAAUGCGUGGACGAACACGAGGAAAGAGCAUACGGUGCUUAGGUAUGAUGCAUAUUCUGACAGGCGUUAGCAAAAGGUAUUACACAAAGCAGUAACAUCAACAGCGACAUUUCUACCUGGAGCACAAACAGUUCGGGCUGUGCUUGGUAAUACAGACGUGCACAAGCCUCCCUCGAUUCCAGUCGAUUUUUCUAUUGAAUCCCACUGAAUCCCUAUCUUGGUUAUAUUCUCUCAAACGGGGGAGAUGGCUCCUGGUCACAGGGGAACCCUAACGUUAUCUGCUUAGCCACCUAACUCCAUAUCAGAGCCGCCACAUUAAUAGAGGAGGAUGGCAACAAAGCUACCUGUCACAUAGGGGGUGCCACGGAUCGCAUCGUAGAGACUAUACGUAGAAAAUCAAAAAAGGGUAUCAAUAGGGCAGGAAGAAAUGAUAAAAGUACUUGAUUUCGUAUGCCAGUAACCUUGGCUACAAUCGUUGGUAAAAAGCUCGUGCACGAUAUUUCUUCUCAUUUAUGGAUAGCAAAGGUUUAUCAAGAACACAGCUUGCGCUGUCGGACUAGACAAACAGAGUACAAUUGUUACGUUAUUAUUAUCAUCUGUGGACUAAAACAAAUAACUCACGUCUACUUUUUCUUUAGACAGACGCGAGUCGUUACGAAUCUGGGCUUUUAAAACCCGAUGAAGUUCGCAUGUGGUAAUAAUUUUCUCUUUAUUUAGUAUCAGCACGUCGGAUUUUGGGCACUCCCGAUUUUUCUUGAAUUGUAAUCAUGCUAUUAGUACCGAAUAAGCAAAUCCUUAGACUGAAUAAUGCCGUCGUUGUCCGCAUCCCUGUAUGCUAUCGGUAUAGACAAAACUCGUCUACCCCCUACAAAACUCAAAUAACAUCACAGUGUCCAUCGUCGGGCCUUGUGUACUAUGAUCGGUGUGGGCGAGUUGCUAAAAUAUUGAAUAAUAAUAAUAAUAACGUUUUUUGUUAUCAGCUGCCUUCAAUCUCUAGUCUGGGGAUCGACAAACCCUCGAUGUCUAAUGCGUACAGGAUGCUAUAUGCAAGCAUAUCGCGGAUGUUGUGUCUUCCUUGUCGAUUGGUCUGUUCCCAAUAGCUAGUGGUCUGUAUAUGAUCCCCGUGAUGAGUGACGAUCUUUGGGUUGCUUGUUGGUGACCUAAAUAGCAGAAAAAAUGCGAAUGUUUUUGUGGGAGUGAGCAAGAAGCUGAGUUGACGAUAAGGCAUUAGCCAAGCUGAAGGGACCGGACCCAUCAGCAAUAGGCAGACGCAGGAACUUUUCUGAAUCUUUGCACAAUAAGCUGCCACCCUUAAUUUUCCUUGUUAUUCAUGUUUCGCUAUCUAGCGAACUAGGGAAAGUUCUGUAACUCCACUGUUCUGCAAGAUUGACAAUUCACAACUUAGAGGGCCAAAACGCUAGAUGUUACGCUGUCAGAUAAUAGAAAUAGCGUUUUUUUCCCAUAUUAUCAUUGUCAAUUAUUGGAUACAAUAUAUAUCCACAUAAGCGUAUGAUAUAACAACCCACUAAGUGCUGGUAUCAUUGUGACCAGAUGGACCAUUUCGUGUGAAUGACUUGCGCUCUACUAUCUACCUCUAACAAAAAUGUGACCCUAUCAGAAAAGCUUCAGCGUCAACUUGAAUCUGCUAUUGUUUUAAACGAUUCUCCUUGCAAAGAGCUAUCGUGAAGUUUUGAAAUACGCACGGUGCUCACGUGUCUAGUAUAAACGCGCUGUUAUCAGAGGCGAAAAUUGGCCUUGAGAAAAGUAUCAUAUGGUUCUUUUCAAGACGCUCUGUCCAGAUAUACGCACACGCCGACUUUCGAACGUCAGAUAGUCGUCACGGAUUUUUAUCGUCGAUUUAGUAUAUUGGGCCUAAGGCUGCUCGUCCUACUAUUGUGCUAGUAAAUGUCAACACAUUUUCGUUUAAGCGGUACGUAGGUGAUGAUUUGUUUUUGAUAAUUAUGUGUUUAUCAUAAACUGAGCGAAGUUCUUUUGCGUCGACAUCGUACUUCAAUUUAAACACAUUGCAUAGUGCUUUCAUAGCGAGCUACACUGUUGAUUAGAAAAACAUCAAAAUCUCGAUGUAUUUUUUCUACAGGUGAA
RNAcentral lists this long non-coding RNA (4061 nucleotides) under Varroa destructor (honeybee mite). RNAcentral describes it as "uncharacterized LOC111246660, transcript variant X2". The record is from RNAcentral. Lineage: Eukaryota; Metazoa; Arthropoda; Arachnida; Mesostigmata; Varroidae.